This 127-nucleotide small nucleolar RNA is filed under the name Propithecus coquereli (Coquerel's sifaka). Its description in RNAcentral is "Small nucleolar RNA ACA64 (ENSPCOG00000003354.1)". It matches the Rfam family "Small nucleolar RNA ACA64". The record is from Rfam by way of RNAcentral. Lineage: Eukaryota; Metazoa; Chordata; Mammalia; Primates; Indriidae.
UUUGGUUGAAAAUAACCACUGGCUUUGACUGUGACCGUGAGUGAUAUUUGGCAAGCAGAGCCACCAGGAUUCAUAGCCCAUUGGUCACUGCCUUUGAGGUGGGGGUGAAACCCAGGCCUUCACAGGU